UUGAAUGUUGCCUUGAUGGGUUGUCGCUGGCUCUUAAACAGGGCAUGUGCACACCUGUCUUGACUACUAUUCAUCCACCUGUGCACCUUUUGUAGUCUUUUUGGGGGCUGGGGAAAGUGGCAGCUCAGGCUGUUGCUGAACCUCCCACUGGGGACUAUGUUUAUAUUCAUAUACCAUGUAGAACGUCAUAGAAUGUUGUCAAUGGGCACUUGUGGCCUAUAUAAAAUCUAUA
Molecule: unclassified non-coding RNA, 232 nt
Filed under: uncultured Micropsalliota
Lineage: Eukaryota; Fungi; Basidiomycota; Agaricomycetes; Agaricales; Agaricaceae
Description: sequence contains ITS1
Source: RNAcentral